GAUGAACGCUGGCGGCGUGCCUAAUACAUGCAAGUCGAGCGAACGGACGAGAAGCUUGCCUCUCUGAUGUUAGCGGCGGACGGGUGAGUAACACGUGGAUAACCUACCUAUAAGACUGGGAUAACUUCGGGAAACCGGAGCUAAUACCGGAUAAUAUUUUGAACCGCAUGGUUCAAAAGUGAAAGACGGUCUUGCUGUCACUUAUAGAUGGAUCCGCGCUGCAUUAGCUAGUUGGUAAGGUAACGGCUUACCAAGGCAACGAUGCAUAGCCGACCUGAGAGGGUGAUCGGCCACACUGGAACUGAGACACGGUCCAGACUCCUACGGGAGGCAGCAGUAGGGAAUCUUCCGCAAUGGACGAAAGCCUGACGGAGCAACGCCGCGUGAGUGAUGAAGGUCUUCGGAUCGUAAAACUCUGUUAUUAGGGAAGAACAUAUGUGUAAGUAACUGUGCACAUCUUGACGGUACCUAAUCAGAAAGCCACGGCUAACUACGUG
Molecule: ribosomal RNA, 497 nt
Filed under: uncultured bacterium
Lineage: Bacteria
Description: partial 16S ribosomal RNA
Rfam family: Bacterial small subunit ribosomal RNA
Source: RNAcentral